CUUCCCAACCAUUAGGGCACAAACACCCUAAUUUCUCCGCUAUUCUUCCUCUUUCUUCUCUUCCUCUUCUUUGAAGGCACAAAUGCUGAGACUUCAACACCCCAAUUUUUUCAGUCGACAGUCCUCAACAAAGGCCGAGACCUCAGUAGCGUAGGUUUUCAGUCGACGGUUUUCCAUUUUUGCAAAGGGGUUUUGUUCUCAGAGGUAUGGGCUUGCUUUCUUCUGAUAUUUGACAAAUUAAGUGUCAAAUCUUUGACAAUUUCGUUACUUUUCUUGUGUUAAAAAAGUGAUUUUUUUAUACCUAUCUGAAAAAUAGAAGAAAACCUUUGAAAUUGUAAUUUUUUGCUGCAGAUCUCUGAAAUUCGAAGUCGUGUGUUUGUAGAAUUCUGAAACUCGAAGUUGUGCAUUGAUUUUAGGGAUUGCAUGUCCUUGAUAAGGUAAGCUUCUUUGUGAUUUUAUCUUGUCUUGUGCUUUACUUUGGUGUUUUCUUUUCAAAGUUUCUCCAUUUGCCUUUUUGUUCACUGGCAUUGAUGUUGCUGCAGAUAUUGCCCUCCCUCCAGAUUUCUUUGCUAAUUUUAUUAUAUUUUAG
RNAcentral lists this long non-coding RNA (589 nucleotides) under Nicotiana tabacum (common tobacco). RNAcentral's name for it is "long non-coding RNA (NTAB_LNC009921)". The record is from RNAcentral. Lineage: Eukaryota; Viridiplantae; Streptophyta; Magnoliopsida; Solanales; Solanaceae.